UAGACAUGAAAUGGAUCCUUGAUGUACUUGAAUGUCCUCUUUGCAUGUACCGAUAUAUCUCAGUAUAGUUGAAUUGAUUUGUGAUAUCAAUGGCAGGCUUGUGUAACUUGGUAAAACUAGAAGAGUUGGAUCUUAGCUUUAACGGAAUUACUGGCAGGCUUCCUAUAUGUUGGCGAAACAUGUCCUCUAUUCGGAUUCUGAAUCUUGAAGACAAUGAAUUUACAGAUAGUGUCGUGUCAUCUCCCCUCACUAGUCUUACAUCUCUCGAAUUUCUUUCCAUUUCGGGCAACCAUUUUGAUAUCCCCUCAUCACUCGGCCCACUCACAAACCAUUCAAGACUUAAGGUGCUAAUUCUUGAUGACACCAAACUAACAAUUGAUACCAAAGUUGCAUCUUUGAUCCCGAGACUCCAGUUGAAGGUUUUAAGUAUGUCAAAUAGUCCAUCAAGAGGAUUCAAAUUGACUUCUCUGGGCUUUCUCAAUCAUCAACAUGACCUGAGAAUUCUCGAUCUAUCCUCGAAUGACAUUUUGGGGCCCUUUCUAGCUUGGUUGUUGGAAAACAACACCAAGUUGGAAGAGCUUUUUAUGGCAAAUAACUUAUUUACGACACUUGAGGUUCCAUCAAUGACACUUUUUAAUCUUUCGACCAUGGACUUAUCCAACAACAACAUGAGAGGAAAGCUCACUACCGAAUUUUGGGCAAAUGUCCCAAAUCUGUCCUACCUUAAUCUAUCAGCCAACGGAUUGGAAGGGAAUAUUCCAUCUGAACUGGGUAGUGUAAAAUCCCUAGAUAUCUUAGACCUGUCUAGCAACAAUUUCUCAGGGGGACUACCUAUCCAGUUACUAGAUAGUAAAUUGGAUAUCCUCAGCGUAGCAUAUAACAAUUUGCAAGGAGAAAUUGUACUUUCCAACCACACCAUGAACCCGAGUUUGUCACUUCUGCGAUUGGAGCACAACUUGUUCAAUGGAAGUCUCUCUUUUCUUUCAUCACUCUUUGAUUUGGAAAUAUUGGACGUUAGCAACAACAUUUUCAUCGGCAAGCUUCCCAGAUUGAUUGCAAACAUGUCAUCGCUUGUGACCCUUGACUUGUCCAAAAAUCAGUUGGAUGGCCUCAUCCCUCAAGAACUCUGCAAUCUUGAUGAGCUUGAGUAUUUGGAUUUGUCUGACAACAAUCUCUCUGGUCCAUUACCAUCAUUUUUUAUCUCACGGUGGAUGCGCCACAUCCAUCUGAGUAGGAACAAACUGAAUGGUACACUCGUGCAUGCGCCCUCUAAUAGCUCCAAUUUGGUGACAUUGGAUCUGAGUGAAAAUGAGUUCUCCGGAAGCAUACCCUAUUGGCUAGGUAACCUCUCUCAAUUGAGCAUUCUUUCACUGAAAGGUAAUAGCUUCUAUGGAACAUUUCCCGAGCAAUUGUGUAAAUUGAAACGCUUAAGUAUGAUCGAUCUUUCUGAAAACAAUCUAUUUGGUCCAUUACCUAAUUGCUUGGGACCCAUGAAUUUAUCCACAAAUUACUAUGAUAAGGUAACUUCAACACAGGAAUUCUUUACAGUUAUAGGAUGGUCACCUUGGACUUAUGUGAGGAGAAGCCAUCCUACGCUCUUCUAUAAACAAAAAAUAGAAGAACUUGAUGCUCCACAUACUGUUGGGUUCACAACAAAAAGAAGGUUUGAUUCUUAUAAAGGCUACGCACUUCUUAAAAUGGUGGGACUAGAUCUUUCUUGCAACCAGUUCAGUGGCGAGAUCCCACCGAAGAUAGCAAUCUUACAAGAAAUGCUUGUGCUGAAUCUGUCACAUAACAAGCUUACAGGACGUAUACCAAUGUCAUUGUCAAGCCUCACGAAGAUAGAGAGCAUUGACCUUUCCUACAACAACUUGAUUGGUUCUAUCCCUGAAGAGCUUACUCAAUUGAAUUCCCUAGAAGUCUUCAAUGUGUCUUACAAUGACUUGUCAGGAACCAUACCAAACAAAAAUCAAUUUGGGGCAUUCGAUGAAAGUAGUUACUAUGGAAACCAUCUUCUAUGUGGACUGCCGUUGAGUAAGAAGUGCUCAACAAUCAUUAACGUUAACUACUCAACAACAAAAUCAUGCGCGAUAGCUAAACAAGAUGGUUUCAUAGACAAACAAACAUUCUAUAUCAGCUUUGGAGUGUCAUACACGACGGUUGGACUGGUAAUUCCGAUUGUUCUAUUCAUCAACCCCCAAUGGCGACAAGGAUGGUUUCACCAUGUGGAACUAGUUAUCACCACAUGUCAGAGCUUAUUCAUCACAUGCUACUAAAUUGUGCAGGACGGUUUUCAAAAACUGUCCAGAGGCCAAACAUUUUAGGUUCUCUCGUUCUGCAUUAACUGGUAAUGGUAGGAUUGGGUUUUUUUUUCCUAUUGUUUGUUAUUGUCGUUGAUCAACAUUGGCCUCAAUGUGGAUCUAUCGAGUCAGUGUAAGUUCUUACCUUCACAACUGAAUAAGGUCUUGUUUUACUGUCCUUGAAGACAAUACAGGGCAUGAUCCUUCCCUCUUUUGAACAGGUGUUUUUACAUUAUUGCUUGCUCAUCUCUAUUUGGUUAGGUGAUCAUACUACUAGUGAUGACAAACAACAUUAGAAAAACAUGGCUGUUUCUUCUCAACUUUUUUGGUUUGUGGUAACAAAUUUGCUUUCCUUUCCGAAUAAAAAUUUUCGUCUCCGUAUAUCACUUGGUCCAUUCGCAAGUCGUUCGAGACAUAAAACUCCUCUUGCUUGACAAUAUAGCACAAACAACUAAAUGUUCUUCAAAGUCUUAGGCUCAUGGCCAAUCUGCAAUUUGGUUAGGACAUCGAUUUCCAUCUAACUUUUAUGAAGGUUUACUUGUUCUUAAGUGUCUCCUGAGAUAAAUUCACGGUCAAACUUGCAUUUUUAUGACCACUUUCGUUGUUCCUGUCUUGGUGGAAUGAUGUUCUAACAUUUUGCUAGGAGCUUAGCUCUAGCUUGGAAAAAGAAGUACUGCACUGAGGCAUGCCCUGUUCAGUAUGAAAGAGACCAAAUUUGUUGUCUUGAUGUCUAGGCCAAAUGCGAGCAAGAACCAAGCCGGAUCGAGGCCCAGAUUGGUGCAAAUGUAUGAAUUCUAUUGUAAACAUUCCAUUCAUACGAGAAGGUCAGCACUGCUGCCACUUUUACAAAUUGGUAGAAAAAAGUAACAGGUGGUAUGUCAAUCAAAGUAAUAGAAACAACUAUCAGAUAAUCAUGAGCCUAUACUCACGAUCAAGAGAAAAAGGAAGCCGGACUCCUUUUUUGUAGUAAGAAAUUACUUCAACGCUUUAUGGCGGUUUCUACGGACAUACAAAAAAUGCAGCUUUGACAAGCAGUUUUGAGGACAUUCAUUCUGUUAUAAGAACAUUGGUCAUCACAAUAUAUAUUAAUAAAAAGUGAUGGUUGAGAUCCAAAUGUGGGCAAGACAUGCAAAGGAGAAUGUCCAGGCAAUUAUUCCCAGUUGAUCUACCAUGCAGCACAUGGUAGGUAUGCUUAGUCAUUCUGAUAUAUAAUUAAUUUGUAUUGAAAAAUAAUAAUGGCGCCACCUUUGUGGGCUUAAUCGUGUGCUAAAUCAUAUUGGUGUAUGCUUUUGGGCCCGGAUUUGGGUCAUCUAUUACAAUGAAUACAUUCUAUACUUUUGUGAUAGUAUAAUGUGUAAUGAAUCUAAGAAAAAAUCUUUUACAGUCAGACUAAUGCACCGGCUAACUCAGAAAUAUGUCACGUGGUUACUAUAUUAUUUAAUAAUAUCAUUGGCAGAAUACACUGAUCAUUCCGAUCCACAAUUUGAAUCACAUAUCCCUCUUAUGGUAAAUUUACCACUCGAAAUAGUAAAUUAAGGUUCAAAAUAUUUUGUUGUGGAGCUAUGCAUCAGAUUUUCUUGUGGAAAGUAAAUCAUGUAUAGUAUUACCUCGUCCCAAAGUACAUACCAAGUAAGAAUUGGUCCUUCACCUAUAUAUCUAGCAUAAUAGACCAUCUGGUGCACAUAUAACUAAUAAUGUAUAAUCUUCCGACAAUGAUCAAACAAGCCUACUUUCACAAUAUUACAUUUUAGACAAGGAACAAUUUUAGUUAUGAUUGACUUCUCAGAAAAAUUCAGCAAAACAAACAUAUUCCUCACAAUGUACAUAUAUAAACCAAAAAAAUAGAAAACAAAGAGACAAGUUCCCGAUAAAUUCACCAUAUGUUCGAUGCAACGAAUCCAAUAAGCAAGGAAAGUCAACAACUUUGGUCAACCAAUCAAUUAGUACAAUCCGCUGCCGGGAACCCAAAAAUCAACAGCACCAAUAAGCUUAAUCAUUUUAGUGCUCGAAGCCACCAUACUUUUACUGCAAUUAAUCACGCGAUCAACGAAGCACUCGGCUCGACCGAUGGCUUCACUAACCUAAACCCCAUAAAUAGAUUCUAAUCAUUUCACAACUCCAGCUCACCAUGCUCCACUAUGCUUAAUAAAGCGAUCAAUGUAGUAUCGAGCUCCGGGAAAUUAACUUUAGAGGAAGUGUAUCAGAUCUGGAGAAAUUAAGCUCCGGCGACGCGGACUUUGAACGCAGAAUGGACCCGCCGAUUAUAAUCGCCGAUCGCCACUCUUCAUCUUCUGCGUCUGAGAAUGGCGAGAGAUGAGGCGGAACAACCGGCGAUCGUAAUCGGCCGGACAGCCCACAUCAUGAAGUACCCCUCCUCCCCUGUCUCCGCUCCCGAUCGUCGCCUCCACUUCAAGGCGGCCGCAUCUCGCCAUCGCAUCGACGGCGCAGGUCCCUCCAGCCGCUCUCGCGUCGCUCUUGGUGGGGAUCUCUCUGGCUCCAUUGCUCGUCGGACAGGUCACGUUCGUGAUUGGGCCGGUUUUGAUGCCCUUGGGUCGCCCUUCUGGUUUUAUUCUUUUACGUGGCGGGAAUGGUGUCCGCUCCGUCGGAGGUGGCUCGGGCGACCCGUAAUCCAUUGGAUUCUCUAGUAAUAGGUUUUUCUUAAUCUGAGAAGUCGAUGGUAUCUUUUUUAUUCUAGUAAUUUGUUGUCUUGAUGUCUUGGCCAAAUUCAAGCAAGAACCAACCCGGAUUGAGGCUCGAAUUGGUGCAAAUGUACGAAAAUGGCUACUAGUCAUUAAUAGGGCUCCCAACCAAGCCUGGCCAGGCCAUGUGGCCGAGCGCUUGGGUGGAAGGGAAUAACCUCCCAUAUCGAAUUUUAAUUAUUUUUAGAGUCUUUUGAUGUUUUACAUGAAGUUUCUUUACUUUGCGAGAGUACUUAGAUUUUUUUUUUUUCUUUUGAGAAUUCUCUUUACAGAUCCUCGCUCUCUCGAGGAGGAAUUGUGAGAAAGCUACGGAUCAUACAACAUCAACCUGAUUGAUCGUAUCAAAUAUGAAGAAGAAAAUCUAACACACAAAAGAGAAUUAUUAUAUCAGAUAGCAUACAAGUAACGUAUCAUACCUUUUUUUUUCCUCAUAAGAGGAGAAAAAGGGGAAAAAUGCCACAUAAAAACUCUAAACUAUGUCAACUGUGAUAUAUUUACCCUAAACUUUUUGUUAUGACACAAAAAAUCCCAAAUUUGUAUAUAUGUGACACAUGUACCCUAAAUUUAUAUCCAUUUACCUGAAUACAAAUCUGGGGUUUUUAGUAUCAUAUAUAGUUUGUGGUAAACGCGUUGUACGAUAAUGAGUUGAGAUUUUUUGUGUCACAGAAAAAUUUGAGAUAAACAUGCCACGCGGGUAUAAGUUCAGGGUCUUUUGUGUCAAAAAAAAGUUUGGAGUAAAUUGUAUCAAAGUGGACAUCACUUAAACUUUUUUGUGAUUUUUUUUUCAAAAAAAAAAAACUAGAGAACUUUUGAAAAAUCAUCCCCGCUUUGGGAAAUACACAAUUUGCAUUUAUAAACUACCCCUCCACCCCAAUUUUUUUUUUUUUUUUUUAUCUCUGUCUCUCUACCUUCCGCCACACCAGUGUUGGCUUCUCUCUCCACAGCCACUAGAGCUCGAAAGUCGCACUCAAGGCCAUGGCCGCAAGCUCAAAGGCAAAUUUAAUGCCUGUGGCCUUCGAGCUCGAAAGUCAUGCGAUUUGGCGAACUCGCCAUGGCCACUAGAUUUGGCAUCAAGUUCAACAAUGGAAUUUGGGUAGCGACAAACAUGAGCUCGAGACAAGACAGAGGGAGAUAGUUGAGGCGGCUGGGUGGUGGCUUGGUGAUGCAACAAGUGUAGAUGGUGCCAGGAGCUUCAAGUCGUACGCUUGGGGUUGGGUAAGUGUCUUGAUCAAGUGGGUUUUGUGGUAGGUUUUGAAUGAUGAGUCGGGAGGAGCAAAGUUGGGGGAAAAUGACGGAUCUGUAAUUAUAAUUAACAUCAUAACUAACGUCAAAUGCAACUUGAAAUGGAAUCUGCUAGAGUGAGGAUGGUUACUACAACCACGAUAACAAACUUCCAACUAGAAUACUACAGUCCCACAUUCACCUUCUCCACACAAAGCUCUCUCUUCCACACCGAAUCUUCCUCUGCAUGUUUGGGUUAUGUGAGCCUAAUGAGAACUGGAGAGCAAAACAAAUUGAAGUGUAAUAUGCUGUCAUGCGAACUCAAUAGUUCUUAUGAUUUCACAUCAUGAUGUGCUAUCUUCAAAAUGUAAAGCGAGGAUCGUCGCAAGGACCUCUUCGGGCUCCCAUACACAACAAACUCGAGCACAAAGCUACUAGUAAAGUUGUCCAAUUAUAUCGGUAUGGGAUCUCCACCAAGAAGGAAUGAGCAUCUAGGAAAGCAAAUUUGUGUGCAAUCCGACUUCCUAACUCAGUGGUCAUUCUCUCAUCUCACUUAUUUAAUUAAUGUCAAGUGUCGCAAUAUUAGUCAAAGAAAGAUUGGGUCCCAGCAACUUCAGAGGUUAAAUUGACUCAGUUAAUCCCGUUUACAUAUAAAUACAUUACAAAUGUCAAGCCAAUGUAGAGAACUCGCCAGACAUGAUAACUAAACAUGUUCCUUUGACAAAACUUAAGCUUUACUUGAGUGCAAUUGUCAUAUGUAGAGAGUGAACGUCCAUCGAGGCGUUGGGAGAAUUCACAUGGAUGAUGAACAUUAUGACUUAGUUAUAAACGUCAAGGCAAGGUAGAGAAUUGUUAAAAUAUGUCUCAAUUUUGAGCCAUUAUGCAAUCUAACCUGAUUGGGUAAGAAAGAAAUCCAAAAAAUCUUUCUUUGAAUGGUGUAUAUAUUAGAGAGUUUCUUUUAUUUGGUUGGACGUAUUCACGAUUACAUCUAGACUUUGCAAUGUAAAAGAUUUGAGAGGAUAUUGCUUGCACACUUGGGUAAGAAAAAGAUAUAAGUUCAAUUUGGGAGGGUUGGACGUGUAGACUCCGGCGCAUUAAACAUUGAUGGAGAAAUUUUUCUAUGGACAGCUGCCAAGGACCCCAAUAGUGAACACAACAAACUCUCACGGUCAAAUUUCCUGUGGGCUUUAAUUGCCUCCUUGGAAUUUUCUUUUUGGUCAUACAAAAGAGAGCGUGUGGGGUAAGGAAGUAGUCAAAGAAAAGAAAAUAAAUUAAAAGCAAGAUUUUGCUUUUUUGGGUUUCAUUUCCUCGAGAAGCCUAAUAGUGGAAUUCCAUUAGAAAUUGGGCCACUGCACGAAAAGUAAAAGAAAGAACAUACGAACAUUCUUGAAUUAGCUAUGCGAAGGGUUUUGCUAUGGGCUUCUAUGAGCUUUGCAUGCAAUUAAGUUUUUUAUUCAUAAAGUUAUUUGGAUUUGGUCUUAAUCUAAAUAUGGGAAACACUCGAGUUUUUUAACGAUUGUAGUUCUAAUUCUCAAAUUAUAGUGAAUUAUUGGUUGCUAGCUCUCUCUGGGGAUAAAUGCCGACACUCAGAUCAAAUCUCGUAAAUAUUUGGUAUCUUUGUCAUUCCCCAUUUAGUUAUUCAAUGUUCUUGUAUUGAUUUAAUGGGAAGAUCUUCUCAAUUUUCGCGUUAAUUUUGCAACAUGUCUACUUUUGAAAUGCCUCUCAUCAGACAUGAUGACCAAAUAUGUUCAUUUGAUGAGACUUAAGCUUUACUUGAGCGCAGUUGUCAUUUAUAGAGAGUGAACGUCCAUCGAGGAGUUGGGAGAACUGACAUGGAUGAUGAACAUUAUGACUUAGUUAUAAAUGUCAAGGCAAGGUAGAGAAUUAUUAAAAUAUGUCUCGAUUUUGAUCCGUUAUGCAAUCUAACCUGAUUGGGCAAGAAAGAAAUCCAAAAAAUCUUUCUUUGGAUGGCGUAUAUAUUGGAGAGUUUCUUUUAUUUGAUUGGACGUAUCCACGAUUACAUCCACACUUUGCAAUGUAAAAGAUUUGAGAGGAUAUUGCUUGGACGCUUGGGUAAGAAAAAUAUAUAAGUUUAAACGUGUAGACUCCGGCGCAUUAAAUAUUGAUGGAGAAAUUUUUCUGUGGACAACCGCCAAGGGCCCAGUAUUUAAUACAAUGAACUUUCGCGGUCAAAUUUCCUGUGGACUUUAGUUGCCUACUUGGAAUUUUCUUCUUGGUCAUACAAAAGAGAGCACGUGGGGCUAGGAAGUAGUUAGAGAAAAGGAAAUAAAUUAAAAAGCAAGGUUUUGCUUUUUUGGGUUUCCUUUCCUCGAGAAGCCUAAUAGUGGAAUUCUAGUAGAAAUUGGGCCACCGCACGAAGAGUAAAAGAAAGAACAUACGAACGUUCUCGAAUUAGCUGUGCGAAGGGUUUUGCUAUGGGCUUAAACACUCGUUGAUUUGCCCUAUGAGCUUCACAUGCAAUUAAGUUAUUUAUUUAUAAACAUAUUUGGAUUUGGUCUUAAUUUAGGUGUGGGAAACACUCGGGUGUAAGCAAUUGUAGUUUUGAUUCUUAGAUUAUAGUGAAUUAUCUGUUGCUAACUCUUUAUGGGGAUCAAUACUGACACUCGGAUCAAAUCUUGUAAAUAUUUGGUAUCUUUGAUAUUUCCCGUUUAUUUCUUCAAUGUUCUUGCGUUGAUCUAAUAGCAAGAUCUUCUUAAUUUUCGCGUUAAUUUUGCAACAUGUCUACUUUUGAAAUGCCUCUAGUCAAGAUCACUUUGUCCUAAAAGCUCUAAUGUGAAGUAGAUUAAUAGAUCUUCCAUGUUUAGAACCAUCCAAUUUCCAAAUGUUUUCUAGUGCAGUUUUUUGCUUGUACGUAUGGACUCACUGGAACAAUCUACCGUCACCCUUACAAAGGAAGCAAUUUGAAUAAUGUUAAAUGGGCACUCAUUAAGUUAAACUAGCUGCUUUUUGUGAGUCUGAAAGGCAAUCUGUUAUGCUUUUUCUCUAGUGUGAAAUGUGCAAAAGCUAGAGAGUAGUAAUUUUCAAUAUCUUGAAAAUAUAAGCAUUCUAAGUUAGUCAUGCUGAACAAUAAGAACAGAGCACAUCAAUUACCAUAUUUAUAUCCUAUGUUAGUUUCCCAAGCAAGAAACCAGUUCAUUGUGAGUAAUCCUUUAACAUUUACUAAUUUUCAUGUUACCAUCAUUUAAUUGCAUUCUAACUGUUCAACAUGAUCUUGCAUUCCAGCUAGGAGCCAAGUAAUUCACAAGGCAUGUGCUUUUCAUUGGAUAAAGAUUGAAUUAGUCAUAUAAAAGACAAAAGGUGACUAGGCUAGACUAAACUUAACGUGUGGAAAAAGUUAUGCCAAUAGAGACAUUCAGAAAUUUCUCCACCAAUGAAAUAUGGUCAUUGCGUAAGUUACAUUCCCCACCCCACACGCUAAUUAACCUUGUCACCAAAAGGAGCUGACCUACAUUCAUCACUAAAGAUGACCAAGACUUUGACGGGAGCUGACCUACAUUCAUCACUAAAGAUGACCAAGACUUUGGCCAUGACCACAACUUCUACACUUAAGCACAGGCAUUACUGAACUCCUAUAAAGUUGCUCUAACUUGCAAAAAAGAAGUUAACUCAAGAGUGUGAUACAUAUAAAGUUUGGUCACUCGGAUCUGCAGUCAUGAAAAACAAAGCAUCGUGGCCGCUUGUGGUGAUUUGGGGUAUCGCAUGUUUAUGUGACUCUCGUGGGUGUCAGGAGCAAGAAAGGGUUGCACUCUUAGCGCUCAAUGCCACAUUGAACCUGAUAUAUAGGGUGGACUCGGGGGGAUCAUAUUUCAACUGUUGCAGCUAGGAAGGUGUUGAGUGCAAUCCCACCACAGAGCGAGUCACUCAUCUAAUACUCCCCAAUUCGAGACAUUACCGUUUUGGCUUCAAAACUUGGUACCUAAACGCUUCUCUGCUUCUUCCCUUUGAAGAACUCAAGAGCCUUGAGUUGUCCUACAACUUUUUAGGAGGGUGGAUUGCACCAGAAGGUAUAAAUUCGCCGCUCGAUCAUUUCCUAUAAAAGAAGAGAUACUCAUUAUCUAAUGAACUCAAAACUUAACAAUGUCUAGGUCCUUACUCACUUCUUGCAUUAUAGAUGAUUAUGUCCACGUCAUCAUUAAUCCACAAGUCUACGACAUAUUUCCCCCCGAAAUGGCAAUACUGGUUUACGCAUGUACUCAAAUAGAUUUCCGUGAGUUUUACUACAUUUCACUGUUUGUUUGCAAAACCAAAUAUGCUAUCUUCGAGGCUGAGCAAACUAGAGGUGCUUGACUUGAGUAGUAACUCUUUGGAUAAUUCUAUUCUAUCCAUUCUUGGUACAAUUCCAUCUCUCCAGAGUCUGUUCCUCGGUGGCAACAAUUUGAGCAGGACUUUACUUGUGAAAGGUAAAUUUCUCUGGCUUAUUCUCUGCUCAUAAUUCAGUACGAAAUUGCCACCCUACAACAUAUUUCCCCUUUGAAAUGGCAAUACCUAUUUACGCAUGUACUUGAAUAGAUUUCUAUGGAAUUUUAUGCUUUUCGUUGUUUGUUUGCAGAAACAAACCUGCUAUCUUCAAGGCUGAGCAAACUAGAGGUGCUUGAUUUGAGUGGUAACUCUUUGGAUAAUUCUAUUCUAUCCAUUCUUGGUACAAUUCCAUCUCUCCAGCGUCUGUUCCUUAGUGGUAGCAAUUUGAGCGGGACUUUACAUGUUAAUGGUAAAUUUCUCCGGCUUAUUCUCUGCUCAUAAUCCAGUACGAAAUCGCCAUCCUUGACUUAAGUUAACACUAUUUGUGGACAAAUUAGGUGGUUUCAAUAAUUUGAUGGAGUUGGACAUAAGUGAUAAUGCCAUUGAUGCAGUGGCUACUAUUGAAGGUACUAUUUCAAUUUGGAUGAAGGAGCCUCGUUUUUAUUCAUAUAUUAAACUAACUAGCCUAUGAGUCAUGUGGAGUCUUUAAUACCUUUACAUGGGCUUCACAUAAUGAAUAUAGAAGUCAUAUAUUGCAACCCCCUUCUCUUUCCAUAUAGAAAUAUUGUUGAUUCAAAAGAUUCCUAUCCCAAGGUAUCCGCGUGGGUGCUUUCAUUAGUUACUUUGGAUAAUUCUAUUCUACCCGUUCGCGGUAUAAUUUGACUCUCAGGUGUCAAUUCUCCUAACAACAUUUGAAUGGGACUUUACAUGAGAAUGAUAGUUUCUCCAGCUUAUUCUCUAUUCAUAAUUCUGUACAAAAUCGCCGUCCUUGACUUGAGUUAGCAAUAUUUGUGGACAAAUUGGGUGAUCUUAGUAAUUUAAAGGAGCUAGACAUAAGUUAUAAUGCAGUCGAUGCAGUGGCUACUAUUGAAGGUACUGUUUCAAUUUUCAUGCGAAAUCCUCAUUUUUAUUCAUAAAUGAAAGUGACUAGACUGUGAUUCAUGCAUGCUCUUUCAUAUCUUUACAUGUGCUUCAUAUUAAGAAUAUAGAAGUCAUAUAUUGUAAUCCCCUUCUCUUUUUGUAUACAAAUGUUGCUGAUUGAAAAGAUAUCUAACCCUAGGCAUCAGUGUGGGUGCUUUCCCAACUUAACUGCCAAGCAAGUUAAUUACUUGGAAUUUUACUACUAGGCACCAAAAACUUGAGCCACUUAGAGAACCUCUGAUAUAGCUAGUAUAAGUACCUAGAGGGGGGUGAAUAGGUAUAUAAAGGAUUUUUCUCGAUAAUUGCACAAUACUAGACAAUUGAUAGAUUUGAGACAAACGAUAAUCAAAGUAAGAUUGAGAGAAGAGAAAAUUGAACACGCGGUUUAUAGUGGUUUGGCUUAUGUCAAGCCUACGUCCACUCUUCUGCACUGAUAGCUUAUUGGCUGGAUUCCACUAUGAACAAAGAGAUGUUACAGUGUUGUUCUCCCUUGCUUUCUCGGUGUAUAUGAUCUACCACACUCGCUCAAGGUAUCACUAAGUAUAAACACUCUUUGUGUGUACAAUUUUGCUCAAAAUGUAUCGACUGAUAAUCAAGGUACUUCAGACUCUGGAAUUUCUCUAUCGAUCAUGCACUAAAGCAACUAGAAUGUCUUCCUUUUAUACUCCUUUAUGCCAUUAUAUCCGUUGGCACUUACCAAAGGAAUUCCUCCAAUCUACUCGUUGGACGGAAUCAAUCAAGAAGAUCAUUCGAGCUAUUAAAGGAACCUGACGAUAGCCCAUCAAUCAUGUUCGCCCAUACAAUCAGGAUCUUGGUUUCCAAGAAUAGAACCUUCCAAGAAUAUUUCGUCGACCAUUGGAUCUUCAAACGAUCUUGAUUACAAAUAAAAGAAUCCGUUAUAUUUAUCCAGCCAAGAGAUCUUCUCCAGAGGAUAAGACUAAAUCCUCAACCAAAUACUUUGGCUCUGGAUUGCCUUCGUCACUGGAUUAGAAAAACUGUCAAUGAGAAUAGUCUUGAGUCUUGAGUCUUGAGUCUUGAGUCUUGAGUCUGGUGAUCUGAAAGUCUUCAGACUCUAAACAGAAGGUCUGUACUUAUCCAGACUAGACUGAUAGAAAUGUUUUGUCAGCUUCAAAAUAUUCUGGAAAGAUUUCUCCAACAACCUCUACCUAGAUUUUGUCCACUUGAAGCAUGUGGGAACUGUCGUGCGAGCAUUAGGGGCACUGUCAUCUCUGAGGAUCCUUUCUCUCCAAUACAAUACAAUAGAAGGAACAGUACCCGUGAGUGAAUGUAUAUUCACAAUAACGCUCCAUUCAUUUCAUGGAAAACAACUUUCAAGAAAAAGUUUUUUAGAUUUUCCAGCGUUCGGGUCAUGGAAAAUAUAUAAGUAAAGGAAAAUAUUUUCCUUCAAUGGAAAAAGAAUUUUCAAAAGUCAGGAUAAUGAAGAAAUCAUUUUCCAUUCUCUUUCAUUCACCUAGACCUAUUUUCCUUUGUGCGCUCUUUUUAUUUAUUUUAUUUUUUUCUAUUUUCUUUUUUUAAUCAAAUUUUUAUUUUUUAAUUUCUUUCUUUCUUUCUUUCUUUCUUUCUCAGUUGAUUGUUGGUUACAACAACUGCCGGCAACCAACCACACGUGAGGAACAAGCUCACUAAAGGCUGAGGGCUCAUCAAUCUAAUGAGGUCUAAGCUCAUCGGCCUCGAGCAAUCUUGACCUCGCCUGUGACCAGUGAUCGGACGAACAAGAAAGAAAAAAAAAAGAAAAAAUAAUAAUUAAAAAAUCUAUUUUUUAAAAUAAAAUAAAAUAUUAUUGAAAGGAGUGCAUGGAUGAAAAUCAAAUUAGAUUUUUCAUACUAAAUGGUGUAAAAUAUUUUCUACUUCAUUUUCAGGUUCCAGCCGAGCACUAUAAAAUAUUGUCGUUUUCCUAAAAAUGACUUCUCGAAACAUUUUAUAGAAAAGUGAUAUUUUCCGUGAAACAAAUGAAGCGUAAAUUUUUAUUAAAGAAGUUCCAUUCACUCAUGAUAUCUCUGUACCAUUUCUUGAUUAUGCUUGUGUAAGGAAAUCUGAUGUUCGGUAAUCUUUUGACUUUUAAAAAGAUUUCCACAACUUCAGUAAAUUGGAACAACUCAUCUUGGAUGAUUCUUCAUUGAACACAAGCAAAGGAAUCCUUUCCAGCCUUGGUCCGUUGACAUCCCUUAGAUUGUUGUCCUCAUCCGGAACCAAUCUAAGUGGCAACCUAUCAAAUCAUAGUAAGUUCUGAUCUCUUAGUGUAAAUGCUGGACAUGAAAUGGAUCCUUGAUGUACUUGAAUGUCCUUUUUGCAUGUACCGAUAUAUCUCAGUAUAGUUGAAUGACUGUNNNNNNNNNNNNNNNNNNNNNNNNNNNNNNNNNNNNNNNNNNNNNNNNNNNNNNNNNNNNNNNNNNNNNNNNNNNNNNNNNNNNNNNNNNNNNNNNNNNNCAUGACCUUUCCUACAACAACUUGAUUGGUUCUAUCCCUGAAGAGCUACUAAAUUGAAUUCCCUGGAAGUCUUCAAUGUGUCUUACAAUGACUUGUCAGGAACCAUACCAAACAAAAAUCAAUUUGGGGCAUUCGAUGAAAGUAGUUACUAUGGAAACCAUCUUCUGUGUGGACUGCCGUUGAGUAAGAUGGUUUCAUACAUGACGGUUGGACUAGUAAUUCCGAUUGUUCUAUUCAUCAACCCCCAAUGGCGACAGGGAUGGUUUCACCAUGUGGAACUAGUUAUCACCACAUGUCAGAGCUUGUUCAUCACAUGCUACUAUUUUGUGCAGGACGGUUUUCGAAAAUUGUCAAGAGGCCAAACAUUUUAGGUUCUCUCGCUUUGCAUUUCCUGGUAAUGGUAAGAUUGGGUUUUUUUCCUAUUGUUUGUUAUUGUCGUUGAUCAACAUUGGGCUCAAUGUGGAUCUAUCGAGUCAGUGUAAGUUCUUACCUUCACAACUGAAUAAGGUCUUGUUCUACUUUCCUUGAAGACAAUACAGGGCGUGAUCCUUCCUCUUUUGAACAGGUGUUUUUACGUAAUUGCUUGCUCAUCUCUAUUUGGUUAGGUGAUCAUACUACUAGUGAUGACAAACAACACUAGAACAACAUGGCUGUCUCUUCUCAACUUUUUUGGUUAUGUGGUAACAAAUUUGCUUUCCUUUCUGAAUAAAAAUUUUCGUCUCCGUAUAUCACUUGGUCCAUUCACGAACCGUUCAAGACAUAAAACUCCUCUUGCUUGACAAUAUAGCACAAACAACUAAAUGUUCUUCAAAGUCUUAGGCUCAUGGCCAAUCUGCAAUUUGGUUAGGACAUUGAUUUCCGUCUAACUUUUAUGAAGGUUUACUUGUUCUUAAGUGUCUCCUGAGAUAAAUUCACGGCCAAACUUGCAUUUUUAUGACCACUGUCGUUGUUCCUGUCUUGUGGAAUGAUGUUCUAACAUUUUGCUAGGAGCUUAGCUCUAGCUUGGAAAAAGAAGUACUGCACUGAGGCAUGCCCCGUUCAGUAUGAAAGAGACCAAAUUUGUUGUCUUGAUGUCUAGGCCAAAUGCGAGCAAGAACCAACCCGGAUCGAGGCCCAGAUUGGUGCAAAUGUAUGAAUUCUAUUGUAAACAUUCCAUUCAUACGAGAAGGUCAGCACUGCUGCCAUUUUUACAAAUUGGUAGAAAAAAGUAACAGGUGGUAUGUCAAUCAAAGUAAUAGAAACAACUAUCAGAUAAUCAUGAGCCUAUACUCACGAUCAACAGAAAAAGGAAGCCGGACUCCUUUUUUGUAGUAAGAAAUUACCUCAACGCUUUAUGGCGGUUUCUACGAACAUACAAAAAAUGCAGCUUUGGCAAGCAGUUUUGAGGACAUUCAUUCUGUUAUAAGAACAUUGGUCACGACAAUAUAUAUUAAUAAAAAGUGAUGGGUGAGAUCCAAAUGUGGGCAAGACAUUCAAAGGAGAAUGUCCAGGCAAUUAUUCCCAGUUGAUCUAGCAUGCAGCACAUGGUAGGUAUGCUUAGUCAUUCUGAUAUAUAAUUAAUUUGUAUUGAAAAAUAAUAAUGGCGCUACCUUUGUGGGCUUAAUCGUGUGCUAAAUCAUAUUAGUGUAUGCUUUUGGGCCCGGAUUUGGGUCAUCUAUUACAAUGAAUACAUUCUAUACUUUUGUGAUGGUAUAAUGUGUAAUGAAUCUAAGAAAAUAUCUUUUACAGUCAGACUAAUGCACCGGCUAACUCAGAAAUACGUCGCGUAGUUACUAUAUUAUUUAAUAUCACUGGCAGAAUACACUGAUCAUUCCGAUCCACAAUUUGAAUCACAUAUCCCUCUUAUGGCAAAUUUACCACUCGAAAUAGUAAAUUAAGGUUCAAAAUAUUUUGUUGUGGAGCUAUUCAUCAGAUAUUCUUGUGGAAAGUAUAUCAUGUAUAGUAUUACCUCGUCCCAAAGUACAUAACAAGUAAGAAUUGGCCCUUCACCUAUAUAUCUAGCAUAAUAGACCAUCUGGUGCACAUAUAACUAAUAAUGUAUAGUCUUCCGACAAUGAUCAAACAAGCCUACUUUCACAAUAUUACAUUUUAGACGAGGAACAAUUUUAGUUAUGAUUGACAUUCCUCGUUUAAGGGUUGUCCUUGUUUCUGAAACCUUGGUUAGCAUCGUUUAAUAUAUUCCGAUUUUUAAACUCAAUUGCAACAGGGCAUCACAUCAAUUCAGUAGCAAGUUAUGGCAUUCUAAUGGGAAAGGACAAGGUGGCACCUCUUUUUUUAGUAUAUGCAACCAACUAAUAAUCUGAGCAGUUGGUAAAAUCUUCUACAAAAUGACAUACAUCACAAUACAUCUCAAUUCCCACAUUAUGCAUGUUACAGAUUAAGAACCAUUGAAGCUUGGUACUGGAUAAGGCCAAAAAUGCUUAGAUUAUCAUAAGUAACCACAGAGCACCAGCAACGGACCUCACCCAUAGCAAGAACUUCCAAUGCACCUUCAUACUUUUGCCUCCUUGUAAGUUGUUUUGCAUUUGAGUGAAGCAUUAAGCCCAUCAUCACAGCACUGGAGAAAAUCCAAAAGGUUUUUUAAAUGCCAAUUCAAAACAAUAGCAGCUAAACAGCAUAUUGUGAGAAAAGACUGCUUGAGAAAGGAUUUCUUAAAAAACAAAUUAGUCUACUGCCAACCCUCGAUCAGUUUCAGAUCCCAUAUUUACUUUCUUUCCACUCAGAUCUUCAAGUUCUAUGUUUAAGUCUUCCAGUGGCAAUUAGCCAUCUGCAUGUCUCUUAGCCAGUGCAGUGGCAGCUGCUCUGUAUUUAGAAGGAUAUACACAUUCAAUUAUAUGAGUGGAUGUGCACAUACACGCACAGUAGCCAGAAAGACUACUGUCUCUGAAAACAACAAACACGCUGGCCAAUAUCAUCAAAAAAAUAAUACAGGAAAGUGAACCACAAGAGCAGAUAAGCAUGUCCAUGUAAGUGAACAUCUGUAGGUUAGGUAUAUCCAAAUUGCUAGGCUCAUCAGUGCUUCUGGCCAAGCAUAGAAAUUUUAUGGCAUAACUAUAAACAAGUCACUUUAUCAAGACAUGCAGUCUUCUUUUGAAUAAUAAUAAAGCCCCGUGCUCAGAGCCGAAUGUCUCUUUAAGUAUCAAGAUGCACUGCCUCAUGAGUUAAGUAACGUAUGCCACGCUAAGAAUGUUGAUUGGUCCCAUGACCAUAUGCAAAGUUGCUAAAAAGGGGUGAAAACCAAACUAAAUAUGCAUGCGAAAUACAUGAUGAAGGAUUGAUUUGGUGGUGGCCGCUAACAGUUAAAGUGAGCUUGGAAUGAGGAGAAAGCAUCUUCCGAUGCAUCAAAGCUAGUUAAAAACUUCUGCACCACAGAAGCGCCAAAAGCUUCAGACUGAGCAUUAUUAACCAAGGAAGGCAUCUCUUGAACUCGUACACGCUCAUCCUAAGACCACAAAUUGCAUUGCUAUUUGACUCAGACCUGUUCUAGAAAAGCCGAGGCAUUUCGAGUUCCUUCACCUAUAACAAGAAUGUGAAGCUCGCUGCCAUUGGUAAAAGAGAAAGGGAGAUGUAAUUGAUACACCGAAUGUAGAGAAUUCUUAGCCUCAUCAAAUAUGAGCCCCCCUUAAUCACUCCAAGCAAGAUUUAUCAAAACCAUCAACCGAUUAACAAAGAGAAUGGAAAGAAUAAUAGAGAUAGAGAGCAGCAGAAGCCUGCUUUCUAAAGGUCAGCUGCCAUUCACCACAUUAUAUUUUACAAGGCCAGUCCAACAAGGUGUAUGAUCCAAUUACACAUACCCAACUUUUCAGAAUUGGGCAGUGCUCACAUGUUGGUUCACCAUGCCCUAGUCAUACAUGCCAUUCAGUAGCAAUGGAUCAAAACCACCACCUAAAGCCCCUUUCUGUUUAGACAAGUUACUAGCAGUCUCCACCAAAGCCAAUUCCCAAUCUUCCUUGCCAGAUUCGGCAGCUGGGGUUUGCCAAGCAGAAGUCACUUCUGGUUCACCAUUAGAAGGGAAUGCUUCCCACGAAUCAUUCCCUGUAUGGCCCCGCAAAUAGAGCCAAUGCAAAUUUAUUAGCUUGAUCAUCAGCAGUAACUCCAUUAUCUCUCAGAUCCGCUAAAUCCACCAUCACUUGUGGCUUUGGUGGCUCCGGUUUUGGCUCUGCCGUUGGUGCAGGAGUAUAAUUCUAUUGUGGAGGGAAUGCCUUUAUCUCAUUCAUAUCUGGCACAGGCUCCUCCUCCUCCUAAGCCACAGGGGGCAAUUCUUCCCUCCUCUCUGGGCUCUUUGGUCUCUUUGCUCUAUCUCUCACAAACUCCUCCAAUGUCUCCAAAUAUUUACUGGUAAUCCUUUGCACUUCAGGAUAUUCGGACAAUCUUGCCAACCCUGUAUCCUUACACCAAUUGUAGAAUGCAAUCAACUCAUCAAUUUGCUUAACGGCACUCGCAUAAGCAUCGAAAGCCUUGAUGCAAUCCUGGUACUCCAUAUUGAAAAACUUAUCAAGCAAGACAGCCAAAACCUCACAGAUAUCAGCAUAUACCUGAAAUCUCUCCUUCACAACAGUGUACAAUGCAACUAAGAUCAAGCUGCUAUUCUUUGCCAGACAAGUGGACCUACACACCAAGAACUGGUCCAAUAGCCUCUGCAAGUGGCCCAUUUUGCCAAAAAUCCUUUCUUGCUUCAUUUCCCUCAGUGCAGUCACUACCCUUCUAUCUUCUUUCCCUUCCUUCACAGCCACACCAUCGCUCAUAUCCCCAUAUGACCUUGACCUUCUCAUCCCCCCAAAAUUACCAUAUUCUCCUCAAUAAUCACCAUAAUCAUAAUCAUUCGCGUGGUGAGGACCGAAAAUCAUCUCGAUUCCCAUACCUAUCCUCAUUGUGAACACUACCACCACCAUUAGCACUUCCACUAGGACCGCCCCCACCGCUCUUUCUAUCAAACAGAAUCAACUCGAGUUGCUUAUCCAAAUACAUAGCAUAAGUCCGUGCAAAAGCCGAGUGGUCCCAUGAACUAGACUGAGCCUCAUCUCUAAAAUCAGACAAAUUCAACAACCUAGCACCAUGCCAGGUCGCAUACGUUAUCUCCUUGCGAAAAAUUGGGUCUCCAUCAUUCACCAAACGACGGAUGACCACUAGGGAUUUGAGAGCCACAACGUAGUCGUGGGUCUUGCUCAGUCACUUCGAAAGCGCAGAAACAAAUGCAAGAACGUAUCCGCGCGAGAGUGAAGCCAAAUUCAAGGUCCGACGAAUGUAUUUCUCAUCCACAGGAUCAUCAUCGUCGCUCGUGGCUUUCACGAUAUUUACUUUGGCCUCUUGCGCCAUGUUGCCCGCGACCUUCGCGAGGCCGAUGCUUGUCUGGUCCUUGACAGCCCCCAGCAUUUUGCGGAUCGUGCUUUGAGACAUCUUCACCGUCACCCUUACCUACCAAAACCGCACAAGUCAUCUGAACUUGUCCCGCUUGACUCAAAAGCAUCACUUGAGGAUGAUCUAACCAGCUUUCCAGUAAUUUCAAAAAAUCAACAGCACCAAUAAGUUAGUGCUCGAAGUCACCAUACUUUUACUGCGAUUAAUCACGCGAUCAACGAAGCAUUCGGCUCGACCGAUGGCUUCACUAACCUAAACCCCAUAAAUAGGUUGUAAUCAUUUCACAACUACAGCUCACCAUGCUCCACUAUGGUUAAUAAAGCGAUCAAUGUAGUAUCGAGCUCCGGGAAACUAGUUUUAGAGAAAGUGUAUCAGAUCUUGAGAAAUUAAGCUCUGGCGACGCGGACUUUGAACGCAGAAUGGACCCGCCGAUUACAAUCGCCGAUUGCCACUCUUCACCUUUUGCGUCUAAGAAUGGCGAGACAUGAGGCCGAACAACCGGCGAUUGUAAUCGGCCGGACAGCCCACAUCAUGAAGUUCCCCUCCUCCCCUGUCUGCGCUCCCGAUCGUCGCCUCCACUUCGAGGUGGCCGUGUCUCGCCAUCGCGUCGACGGCGCAGGUCCCUCCCGCCACUCUCACGUCGCUCUUCGUGGGGAUCUCUCUGGCUCCAUUGCUCGUCAGACCGGUCACGUUCGCGAUCGGGGCCGUUUUGAUGCCCUUGAGUCGCCCUUCUGGAUCCAUUCUUUUAUGUGGCGGGAAUGGUGUCCGCUCCGUCAGAGUUGGCUCAGGCGACCCGUAAUCCAUUGGAUUCUAGUAAUAGGUUUUUCUUAAUCUGAGAAGUCAAAAGUAUCUUUUCGAUUCUAGUAAUUUGUUGCCUUGGUGUCUUGGCCAAACCCAAUUAACUCGUCAGACAUGAUGACCAACAUGUUUCUUUGACGAAACUUAAGCUUUACUUUAGCGCAAUUGUCAUCUAUAGAGAGUGAAUGUCGAUCGAGGCAUUGGGAGAACUAACAUGGAGGAUGAGCAUUAUGAGUUAGUUACAAACGUCAAGGCAAGGUAGGGAAUUAUUAAAAUAUGUCUUCAUUUUGAGCCGCUAUGCAAUCUAACCUAUUUGCGUACGAAAUAAAUCCAAAAAAUCUUUCUUUAAAUGGUGUAUAUAUUGGAGAGUUUCUUUUAUUUGGUUGGACAUAUCCACGAUUACAUCCAAACUUUGCAAUGUAAAAGAUUUGAGAGGAUAUUGCUUGGACGCUUGGGUAAGAAAAAGAUAUAAGUUCAAUUUGGGAGGUUCGGACGUGUAGACUUCGGUGCAUUAAACUUUGAUGGAGAAAUUUUUAUGUGGACAGCCGCCAAGGGCCCUAGUUGUGAAUACAAUGAGCUCUCCUAUCAAAUUUCCUAUGGACUUUAAUUGCCUACUUGGAAUUUUCUUCUUGGUCAUACAAAAGAGAGCGCGCGGGGCUAGGAAGCGGAUAGGGAAAAAGAAAUAAAUAUAAAGCAAGGUUUUGCUUUUUUGGGUUUCCUUUCCUCGAGAAGCCUAAUAGUGGAAUUCCAUUAGAAAUUGGGUCAAUGGGUCACCGCAUGAAGAGUAAAAGAAAGAACAUACAAACGUUCUUGAAUUAGCUAUGCGAAGGGUUUUGCUAUGGGCUUAAACACUCGGUGAUUUGCCCUAUGAGCUUUACAUGCAAUUAAGUUGUUUAUUUAAAAACAUAUUUGGAUUUAGUCUUAAUCUAGGUAUGGGAAACAUUCGAAUAUAUGAGUAAUUGUAGUUCUGAUUCUCAAAUUAUAGUGAAUUAUUGGUUGCUGGCUCUCUCUAGGGAUAAAUACCAACACUUAGAUCAAAUCAUGUAAAUAUUUGAUAUCUUUGUCAUUUCCCGUUUAUUUCUUCAAUGUUCUUGCGUUGAUUUAAUAGCAAGAUCUUCUCAAUUUUCGCGUUAAUUUUGCAACAUGUCUACUUUUGAAAUUCCUUUAGUCAAGAUCACUUUCUCCUAAAAGCUCCAAUACAAAGUAGAUUAACAAAUCUUCCAUGUUUUGAACCAUCCAAUUUCCAAAUGUUUUCUAGUGCAGUUUUUCACUUGUACGUACGGACUCAUAGGUAUAAUCCACCAUCACCCUUGCAAAGGGAGCAAUUUAAAUAAUGUUAAAUGGGCACUCAUUUAUGUUAAACUAGCUACAUUAAGUGAAUCCAAAAGGCAAUCUGUUAUGCUUUUUCUCUAGUGUGAAAUGUGUAAAAGCUAAAGAGUAGUAAUUUUCAAUAUUUUGAAAAUAUAAGCAUUCUAAGUUAGUCGAGCUGAACAAUAAGAAAAGAGCACUUCAAUGAACCCAUUACCAUAUUUACAUCCUAUGUUAGUUUCCCAAGCAAGAAACCAAUUCACUGUGAGUAAUCCUUUAACAUUUACUAAUUUUCAUAUUACCAUCAUUUAAUUGCAUUCUAACUAUUCAACAUGAUCUUGCGCUCUAGUUGGGAGCCAAGUAAAUCACUAGGCCUGUGCUUUUCAUUGGAUAGAGAUUGAAUUAAUCAUAUAAAUGACAAAAGGUGACUAGGCUAGACUAGACUUAACGUGUGGAACAAGUUAUGCCAAUAGAGACAUUUAGAAAAUUCCCCACCAAUGAAAUCUGGUCAUUGUGUAAGUUACAUACCCCGCCCUGCGCGCUACUUAACCUUGUCACCAAAAGGAGCUGACGUUCAUUCAUCACUAAAGAUGACCAAGACUUUGGCAAUGACCACAACUUCUACACUCAAGCACAGGCAUCGCUGAACUCCUAUAAAGUUACUCUAACUUGCAAAAAAGAAGAGUGUGAUACAUAUAAAGUUUGGUCACUCGAAUUUGCAGUCAUGAAAAAGAGAUCAUUGUGGGCGCUUGUGGCGAUUUGGGGUAUCGCAUGUUUAUGUGGCUCUCGUGGGUGUCGGGAGCAAGAAAGGGUUGCACUCUUAGCGCUUAAUGCCACAUUCAAUCUGAUAUAUGGGGUGGAUGCCGAGGGAUCAUAUUUCGACUGUUGCAACUGGGAUCGUGUUAAAUGCAAUCCCACCACAGGGCGAGUCACUCAUCUGAUGCUCUUCGAGUCGAGAUAUUACCGUUUCGGCUUCAAAACUUGGUACCUAAACGCUUCUCUACUUCUUCCCUUUGAAGAACUCAAGAGCCUUGGCUUGUCCGACAACUAUUUAGGAGGGUGGAUUGCACCAGAAGGUAUAAAUUCACCGUUCGUUCAUUUCCUACAAAAGAAGAGAUACUCAUUAUCUAAUGAACUCAAAACUUAACCAUGUCUUGGUCCUUACUCACUUCCUGCAUUAUAGAUGAGUAUGUCCACAUCAUCAUUAAUCCACAAUUCUACGACAUAUUUCCCCCUAAAAUGGCAAUACUGGUUUACGCGUGUACUCAAAUAGAUUUCCGCAAAUUUUACUGCUUUUCAUUGUUUGUUUGCAGAACCAAACCUGUUAUCUUCAAGGCUGAGCAAACUAGAGGUGCUUGACUUGAGUGUUAACUCUCUGGAUAAUUCUAUUCUAUCCAUUCUUGGUACAAUUCCAUCUCUCCGAAGUUUGUCCCUCCGUCGCAACAAUUUGAGCGGGACUUUACACGUGAAUGGUAAAUUUCUCUAGCUUGUUCUCUGCUCAUAAUUCAGUACAAAAUUGCCAUCCUUGACUUGAGUUAACACUAUUUGUGGACAAAUUAGGUGGUUUCAGUAAUUUGAUGGAGUUGGACAUAAGUGAUAACGCGGUGGCUACUAUUGAAGGUACUAUUUCAAUUUGCACGAAGGAGCCUCGUUUUUAUUCAUAUAUUAAACUAACUAGCGUACGAGUCAUGCGGACUCUUUAACACCUUUACAUGGGCUUCACAAAAUGAAUAUAGAAGUCAUAUAUUGCAAACCCCUUCUCUUUCAUAUAGAAAUGUUGUUGAUUCAAAAGAUUCCUAUCCCGAGGCAUCCACAUGGGUGCUUUCAUUAUUUACUUUCGAUAAUUCUAUUCUACCUGUUCGUGGUAUAAUUACGACUCUUAGGUGUCUAUUCUCCAAACAACAUUUGAAUGGGACUUUACAUGUGAAUGAUAGUUUCUCCAGCUUAUUCUCUAUUCAUAAUUCCGUACAAAUUCACCAUCCUUGAUUUGAGUUAGCAAUGUUUGUGGACAAAUUAGGGGAUCUCAGUAAUUUAAAGGAGCUGGACAUAAGUAAUAAUGCAGUCGAUGCAGUGGCUACUGUUGAAGGUACUGUUUCAGUUUUCAUGCAGAAUCCUCGUUUGUAUUCAUAAAUUAAAGUGACUAGACUGCGAUUCAUGCAUGCUCUUUCAUAUCUUUACAUGUGCUUCAUAUUACGAAUAUAGAAGUCAUAUAUUGCAAUCCCCUUCUCUUUUUGUAUACAAAUGUUGCUGAUUGAAAAGAUAUCUAACCCGAGACAUCAGUGUGGGUGCUUUCACAACUUACCUGCCAAGCAAGUUAAAUUACUUGGAAUUUUAUUGCUAGGCAUCAAAAACUUGAGCCACUUAGAGAACCUCCACCUAGAUUAUGUCUACUUGAAGCAUGUGGCGACCGUCGUGCGAGCAUUAAGGACACUGUCAUCUCUGAGGAUCCUUUCCCUCCAGUGUAAUAUAGUAGAAGGAACAAUUACUACUCAAGGUUAGUCAAACCCGUAAGUGAAUGUAUAUUAACAAUAAUGCUCCAUUCGUUUCAUAGAAAACAACUUUCAAGAAAAUAUUUUUCAAAUUUUUCAGCGUUCGAGUCGUAAAUGAGGAAAUCAUUUUCCAUUCUCUUUCUUUCACCUAGACCUGUUUUCCUCUGUGCACUCUUUUUAGUUAUUUUAUUGUUUUUCUAUUUUCUUUUUCUAGAAAAUUGAAUUUUUAAUUCUUAAUUUCUUUCUUUCUUUCUUUCUUUCUUUCUUUCUUUCUUUCUUUUUCCUUCUUCCUCAGUUGAUUGUUGGCUACAACGAUGGCAAGCAACCAACCACAGGUGAGGAACAAGCUCGCUGAUCUGACGAGGUUCGAGCUCAUUAGCCUUGAGCAAUCUUGACCUCGUCAGUGACCAGUGAUCGGACGAACAAGAAGGACAAAAAAAGAAAAAGAAAAAUAAUUAAAAAAUCUAUGUUUUAAAAUUAAUAUAUAUAUAUAUAUAUAUAUAUUAUUGAAAGGAGUGCACGGAUGAAAAUCAAAUUAGAUUUUUCAUACUAAAUGGUGGAAAAUAUUUUCUAAUUCAUUUUCAGGUAACCGAGCACGAGAAAAUAUUGUCAUUUUCCUAGAAAUGAAUUCUUGAAAAAAAUUUUCUAGAAAACAAAUAGAGCCUAACUUUUUUAUUAAAGAAGUUCCAUUCACUCAUGAUAUCUCUAUACCAUUUCUUGAUUAUGCUUGUGUAAGGAAAUCCGAUGUUCAAUAAUCUUUUGAUUUCUGGGGAACCUAGAAAUGACUUCUUGAAAAACAUUUUCUAUAAAACAAAUAGAGCCUAACUUUUUAUUAAAGAAGUUCCAUUCACUCAUGAUAUCUCUGUACCAUUUCUUGAUUAUGCUUGUAUAAGGAAAUCUGAUGUUCAAUAAUCUUUUGAUUUAUGGGAAGAUUUCCAUAACUUAGUAAGUUGGAAAAACUCUUCUUGGAUGGUUCUUCAUUCAACACAAGCAUAGGAAUCCUUUCCAGCCUUGGUCCGUUGACAUCUCUUAGAUUGUUGUCCUCAUCCAGCACCAAUCUAAGUGGCAACCUAUUAGAUCAUAGUAAGUUCUGAUCUCUCAGUGUAAAUGCUGGACUUGAAAUGGAUCCUUGAUAUACUUCAAUGUCCUCUUUGCAUGUACCGAUAUAUCUCAUUGUAGUUGAAUUGACUUGUGAUAUCAAUAACAGGCUUGUGUAACCUGGUAAAACUAGAAGAGUUGGAUCUUAGCUUUAACGGAAUUACUGGCGGGCUUCCUACAUGUUGGCGAAACAUGUCCUCUAUUCGGAUUCUGAAUCUUGAAGACAAUGAAUUUACAGAUAGUGUCGUGUCAUCUCCCUUCACUAGUCUUACAUCUCUCGAAUUUCUUUCCACUUCGGGUAACCAUUUUGAUAUCCCCUCAUCACUCGGGCCACUUGCAAACCAUUCAAGACUUAAGGUGCUAAUUCUUGAUGACACCAAACUAACAAUUGAUACCAAAGUUGCAUCUUUGAUCCCGAGGUUCCAGUUGAUGGUUUUAAGUAUGUCAAAUAGUCCAUCAAGAGGAUUCGAAUUGACUUCUUUGGGCUUUCUCAAGCAUCAAUAUGACCUUAGAAUUUUGGAUCUCUCCUUGAAUUACAUUUCGGGUCCCUUUCCAGCUUGGUUGUUGGAAAACAACACCAAGUUGGAAAAGCUUUUUAUGGCAAAUAACUUAUUUACAACACUUGAGGUUCCAUCAAUGACCCUUUUUAAUCUUUCAGAAUUGGACAUAUCCAACAACAACAUGAGAGGAGAGCUCACUACCGAAUUUUGCGCAAAUGUCCCAAAUAUGUCCUACCUUAAUCUAUCAGCCAAUAGAUUGGAAGGGAAUAUUCCACCUGAACUGGGUAGUAUCAAAUCCUUAUAUGUCUUAGACCUGUCUAGCAACAAUUUCUUAGGAGGACUACCUAUCCAGUUACUAGAUAGUAAAUUGGGUCACCUCAACGUAGCAUAUAACAAAUUGCAAGGAGAAAUUGUACUUUCCGACCACACCAUGAACCCACAUUUGUCACGUUUGCGGUUAGACCACAACUUGUUCACUGGAAGUCUCUUCUUUCUUUCAUCACUCGUAGAUUUGUGGGUAUUGGACGUUAGCAACAACAAUUUCACCGGCAAGCUUCCCAGAUUGAUUACAAACAUGUCAUUACUUUUGGCCCUUGACUUGUCCAAAAAUCAGUUGGAUGGCCUCAUCCCUCAAGAAAUCUGCUAUCUUGGUGACCUUGAGUAUUUUGAUUUGUCUGACAACAAUCUCUCCGGUCCAUUACCAUUUUUUAUCUCAAAGUCGAUGCUUCACAUCCAUCUAAAUAGGAACAAAUUGAAUGGUACACUCGUGCAUGCCCUCUCUAACAGCUACGGUUUGGUGACCUUGGAUCUAAGUGAAAAUGAGUUCUCCGGAAGAAUACCCUAUUGGCUAGGUAACUUCUCUCAAUUGAGCAUUCUUUCACUGAAAGGUAAUAGCUUCUAUGGAACAUUUCCCGAGCAAUUGUGCAAAUUGAAAAGCUUAAGUAUGAUCGAUCUUUCUGAAAAUAAUCUUUUUGGUCCAUUACCUAGUUGCUUGGGACCCAUGGAUUUAUCCAAAGAUUACACCGAUAAGGUAAUUUCAUCAACAACGGAAAUGGGAGAUGUAAUUAUAGGAUGGUCACCUUGGUCUUAUGUGAGGACAAUUAAAAGCCAUCCUGAGUCCUUCCAUAUAAAAAUGAAAGAAGAAUUUCAAGCUCCACAUACUGUUGGGUUCACAAUGAAAGGAAGGUUUGAUUCUUAUAAAGGCUACGCACUUCUUAAAAUGGUGGGAUUAGAUUUUUCUUGCAACCAGUUCAGCGGCGAGAUCCCACCAGAGAUAGCAAUCUUACAAGAAAUGCUUACGUUGAACCUGUCACAUAACAAGCUUACAGGACGUAUACCAAUGUCAUUGUCGAGCCUCACGAAGAUAGAGAGUAUUGACCUUUCCUACAACAACUUGAUUGGUUCUAUCCCUGAAGAGCUUACUUAGUUGAAUUCCUUGGCAGUCUUCAAUGUGUCUUACAACAACUUGUCAGGAGCCAUACCACACAAAAAUCAAUUUGGGACAUUCAUUGAAAACAAUUACUAUGGAUACCAUCUUUUGUGUGGACUGACGUUGAGUAAGAAGUGCUCGACAACCAUUAAUGUUAAUUGCUUAGCAACAAAAUCAUGCGCGACAACUAAAGAAGAUGGUUUCAUAGAUGAAGAGACAUUCUAUAUCAGCUUCGGAGUGUCAUACACAAUGGUUGGACUAGUAAUUCCGGUUGUUCUGUUCAUCAACCCCCAAUGGCGAUAUGGAUGGUUUCACUAUGUGGAACUGGUUAUCACCACAUGUCAAAGCUUGUUCAUCACAUGCUACUAUUUUGUGCAAGACGGUUUUCGAAAAUUGUCUAGAGGCCAAACAUUUUAGGUUCUCUCACUUUGCAUUUCCAAGUAAUGGCAGGAUUGGGUUUUUCUCCUAUUGUUUGUUAUUGUCAUUGAUCAACAUUGGCCUUAAUGUGGAUCUAUUAGGUGUAAGUUCUUACCUUCAGAACUGAAUAAGGUCUUGUUCUACUUUCCUUGAAGACAAUACACAGCGAGAUCCUCCCUCUUUCGAAAAGGUAUUUUUACGUAAUUGCUUGCUCAUCUCUAUUUGGUCAGUGAUCAUACUACUAACAAUGACAAACAACACGAGAAAAACACAGCUAUCUCUUCUCACCAUUUUUGUUUCUGCGGUAACAAAUUUGCUUUCCUUUCUGAAUAAAAGUUUUAGUCUCCGUAUAUCACUUGGUCCAUUCGCAAACCAUUCGAGACAUAAAACUCCUCUUGCUUGACAAUAUAACACAAACAACUGAAUCUUCUUCAAAGUCUUAGGCUCAUGGCCAAUCCACAAUUUGGUUAGGACAUCGAUUUCCGUCUAACUUUUAUGAAGGUUUAGUUGUUCUUGAGUGUCUCCUGAGAUGGUUAAAUUCACGGUCAAAAUUGCAUUUUUAUGACUACUUUCGUUGUUCCUGUCUUUGUGGAAUCGUUCUAACAUUUUGCUAGGAGCUUUGCUCUAGCUUAGAAAAAGAAGUACGGCAUUGAGGCAUGCCUUGUUCAGUAUGAAAGAGAACAAAUUUGUUGUCCAGAUGUCUAGGCCAAAAUGCGAGCAAGAACCAACCCGGAUCGAGGCCCAGGUUGGUGCAAAUGUAUGAUUUCUAUUGUAAACAUUCCAUUCAUACGAGAAGGUCAGCACUGCUGCCAUUUUUACAAAUUACUAGAAAAACGUAACAGGCGGUAUGUCAUUCAAAGUAAUAGAAACAACUAGCAGAUAAUCAUGAGCCUAUACUCAAUCAAGAGCAAAAAGAAACCGGACUCCUUUUUCGUAGUAAGAAAUUACUUCAACGCUUUAUGGUGGUUUCUACGAACAUACAAAAAAUGCAGCUUUGACAAGCAGUUUUGAGGACAUUCAUUCUGUUAUAAGAACAUUGGUCAUGAGAAUAUAUAUUAAAAAAAAGUGAUGGUUGAUAUAAAAAGUAUAUCAUGUAUAAUAUUACCUCAUCCCAAAGUACAUACCAAGUAAGAAUUGGUCCUUCACCUAUAUAUCUAGCAUAAUAGACCAUCUGGUGCACAUAUAACUAAUAAUGAGUAAUAUUCCGACACAAUGAUCAAACAAGCCUACUUUCACAAUAUUACUUUUUAGACAAGGAACAAUAUUAGUUAUGAUUGACAUUCCUUGUUUAAGAGUUGUCCUUGUUUCUGAAACCUUGGUUAGCAUCGUGUAAUAUAUUCCGUUUUUUAAACUCAAUUGCAACAGGGCAUCACAUCAAUUUAGUAGCAAGUUAUGGCAUUCUAAUGGGAAAGGACUAGGCGGCACCACUUUUUUUUAGUAUAUGCAACCAACUAUUGAUCUGAACAGUUGGUAAACUCUUCUGCAAAAUGACAUCCCUCACAAUACGUCUCAAUUCCCACAUUAUACGUGUUACAGAUUAAGAAGCAUUGAAGCUCGUACUGGAUAAGGCCAAAAAUGCUUAGAUUAUCAUAAGUAACCACAGAGCACCAGCAACGGACCUCACCCAUAGCAAGAACUUCCAAUGCAUCUUCAUACUUUUGCCUCCUUAUAAGUUGCUUUGCAUUUGAGUGAAGCAUCAAGCCCAUCAUCACAGCCCUGGAGAAAAUCCAAAAGGUUUUUUUAAAUGCCAAUUCAAAACAAUAGCAGCUAAGCAGCAGAUUGUGAGAAAAGACUGCUUGAGAAAGGAUUUCUUGAAAACAAGUUAGUCUACUGCCAAACCUGUGAUCAGUUUCAGAUCCCAUAUUUACUUUCUUUCCACUCUGAUCUUCAAGUUCUAUGUUGAAGUCUUCCAGUGGCAAUUAGCCAUCUGCAUGUCUCUUAGCCAAUGCAGUGGCAGCUGCUCUGUGUUUAGAAGGAUAUACACAUUUAAUUAUAUGAGUGGAUGUGCACAUACACGCACAGUAGCCAGAAAGACUACUGUCUCUGAAAACAACAAACACGCUGGCCAAUAUCAUCAAAAAAUUAAUACAGGAAAGGGUACCACAAGAGCAGAUAAGCAUGUCCAUGUAAGUGAACAUCUGUAGGUAUGUAUAUCCAGAUUGCUAGGCUCAUCAGAGCUUCUGGCCAAGCAUAGAAAUUUUAUGUCGUAAUUAUAAACAAGUCACUUUAUCAAGACAUGCAGUCUUCUUUUGAAUAAUAAUAAAGUCCCGUGCUCAGAGCCGAAUGCCUCUUUAAGUAUCAAGAUGCACUGCCUCAUGAGUUAAGUAACGUACGCCACACUAAGAAUGUUGAUUGGUCCCAUGACUAUACGCAAAGUUGCUAAAAAGGGGUGAAAACCAAACUGAAUAUGCAUGUGAAAUGCCUGAUGAAUGAUUGAUUUGGUGUUCGCUGCUCAGAGUUAAAGUGAGCUUGGAAUGAGGAGAAAGCAUCUUCCGAUGCACCAAAGCUAUUUAAAAACUUCUGCACCACAGAAACGCCAAAAGCUUCAGACUGAGCAUUAUUAACCAAGGAAGGCAUCUCUUGAACUCAGACACGCUCAUCCUAAGACCACAAAUUGCAUUGCUAUUUGACUCAGACCUGUUCUGGAAAAGCCGAGGCAUUUUGAGUUCCUUCACCUAUAACAAGAAUAUGAAGCUUGCUGCCAUUGGUAAAAGAGAAAGGGAGAUGUAAUUGAUACACUGAAUGUAGAGAAUUCUUAGCCUCACCAAAUAUGAGCCCCCUCUAAUUCACUCCAAGCACGAUUUAUCAAAACCAUCAACCGAAUAAUGAAGAGAAUGGAAAGAAUAAUAGAGAUAGAGAGCAGCAGAAGCCUGCUUUCGAAACGCAAGCUGCCAUUCACCACAUUAUAUUUUACAGGGCCAGUCCAACGAGGUGUAUGAUCCAAUAACAAAUACCCAACUUUUCAGAAAAAUUCAGCAAAAUAAACAUAUUCCUCACAAUGUACAUAAUAUAAACCAAGAAACAGAAAAUAAAUUCACCAUAUAUUCGAUGCAACGAAUCCAAUAAGCAAGGAAAGUCAACAACUUUGGUCAAUCAAUCAAUUAGUACAAUCCGCAGCCGGGAACCCAAAAAUCAACAGCACCAAUAAGCUUAAUCAUUUUAGUGCUCGAAAGUCACCAUGCUUUUACUGCGAUUAAUCACCCGAUCGACGAAGCAUUCGGCUCGACCGAUGGCUUCACUAACCUAAACCCCAUGCAUAGGUUCUAAUCAUUUCACAACUACAGCUCACCAUGCUCCACUAUGCUUAAUAAAGCGAUCAAGUGAAUCAGAUCUGGAGAAAUUAAGCUCCGGCGACGCGGACUUCGAACGCAGAAUGGACCCGCCGACUACAAUCGCCGAUCGCCACUCUUCAUCUUCUGCGUCUGAGAAUGGCGAGAGAUGAGGCGGAACAACCGGCGAUUGUAAUCGGCCGGACGGCUCACAUCAUGAAGUUCCCCUCCUCCCCUGUCUGCGCUCCCGAUCGUCGCCUCCACUUCGAGGCGGCCGCGUCUCGCCAUCGCGUCGACGGCGCAGGUCCCUCCCGCCGCUCUCGCGUCGCUCUUCGUGGGGAUCUCUCUGGCUCCAUUGCUCGUCGGACGGGUCACGUUCGUGAUCGGGGCCCGUUUUGAUGCCCUUGGGUCGCCCUUCUGGUUUCCUUCCUUUUACGUGGCGGGAAUGGUGUUGGCUCGGGCGACCCGUAAUCCAAUGGAUUCUCUAGUAAAUAGGUUUUUCUUAAUCUGAGAAGUCGAUGGUAUCUUUUUUAUUCUAGUGAUUUGUUGUUUUGAUGUCUUAGCCAAAUUCAAGCAAGAACCAACCCGCAUCGAGGCCCGGAUUAUUGGUGCAAAUGUAUGAAAAUGGCUACUAGUCAUUCAUAGGGCUCCCAACCAAGCCUGGUCAGGCCAUGUGGCCGAGGGAAUAACCUCCCAUAUCGAAUUUAAAUUAUUUUUAGAGUCUUUUGAUGUCUUACGUGAAUUUUCUUUACUUUGUGAGAGUGCUUAGAUUUUUUUUUUUUUUUUUGCUUUUGAGAAUUCUCUUUGCCGAUUCUCGCUCUCUCGAGGAGUAAUUGUGAGAAAGCUACGGAUCACAUAGCGUCAACCUUAUUGAUUGUAUCAAAUAUGAAGAAGCAAAUUUAACAUGCAAAAGAGAAUUAUUAUAUCAAAUAGCAUACAAGUAAGGGAUCAUGCCUUUUCUUUUUUCUUUUUUUCUCAUAAGAGGGGAAAAAAGGGGAAAAAAGCCACACAAAAAAUUCUAAAUUAUGUCUACUGUAACAUAUUUACCCUAAAAAUUUUGUUACGACACAAAAAAUCUCAAAUUUGUACUCAUGUGACAUAUAUAUCCUAAACUUAUAUCCAUGCGACACAUUCAUAUCCAAAUUUAUGGUAUCACCAAACAAAAAAGAAAAUUGUUUGUGGUAUAUGUGUUGCACAAUAAUGAGUUGGGGUUUUUUGUGUCACGGAAAAAUUUGGGAUAAAUAUAUUAAUAAGUUCAGGGCUUUUUGUGUUAUAAAAAAAAGUUUUGAGUAAAUCGUAUCAAAAUGGAUAUAGCUUAAACUUUUUUGUGAUUUUUUUUCAAAAAAGAAAAUAGAGAAUUUUUGAAAAACCAUCCCCACUUUUGGAAAUACACAAUUUGCAUUUAUAAACUACCCCUCCACCCCAUUUUUUUUUUUUUUUAUCUCUAUCUCUCUACCUUCCGCCACACCAAUGUCGGCUUCUCUCUCCAUGGCCACUAGAGCUCGAAAGUCGCACACAAGGCCAUGGCCACAAGCUCAAAGGCAACAUUAAUGCUUAUGGCCUUCAAGCUCAAAAGUCAUGCGAUUAGGCGAGCUCGCUAUGGCCACUAGAUUCGACGUCAAGUUCAACAACGGAAUUUGGUUAGCGAUGGACAUGAGCUCGAGAUAGGAGAGAGGAAAUAGUUGAGGCUGGUGGCUUGAUGACGCAGCAAGUAUAGACGGUGCCAGGAGUUUCAAGUCAUACCCUUAGGUUUAAGUAUCUUGAGGUGGGUUUUGUGGUAGGUUUUGAAUGGUGAGUCGGGAGGGGCAAAGUUGGGGAAAAAAUGACAGAUCUGUAAUUAAAAUUAACAUCAUAACUAACCUCAAAUGCAACUUGAAGUGGAAUUUGCUAAAGUGAGGAUGGUUACUACAACCAUGAUAACAAUCUUCCAACUAGAAUACUACAGUUCCACAUUCACCUUCUCCACACAAAGCUCUCUCUUCCACACCGAAUCUUCCACUGCAUGUUUGGGCUAUGUGAGCCUAAUGAGAACUGGAGAGCAAAGCAAAUUGAAGUGUAACAUGCUGUCAUGCGAACUCAAUAGUUCUUAUCAUUUCGCAUCAUGAUGUACUAUCUUCAAAACGUAGAGCAAGGAUCAUCGCAAGGACCUCUUUGGGCUCCCAUACACGACAAACUCUAGCACAAAGCUACUAGUAAAGUUGUCCAAUUAUAUCAGUAUGGGAUCUCCACCAAGAAGGAAUGAGCAUGUAGGAAAGUAAAUUUGCGUGCAAUCCAACUUCCUAACUCAAUGGUCAUUCUCUUAUCUCACUUAUUUAAUUAAUGUCAAGUGUCCCAAUCUUAGUUAAAGAAAGAUUGGGGUCCCAGCAACUUCAGAGGUUAAAUCGACUCAGUUAAUCCCUUUUACAUAUAAAUAGAUUACAAAUGUCAAGCCAAUGUAGAGAACUCACCAGACAUGAUAACUAAACAUGUUCCUUGUAGAGAGUGAACAUCCAUCGAGGUGUUGGGAGAAUUAACAUGGAUGAUGAACAUUAUGACUUAGUUAUAAACGUCAAGGCAAGGUAGAGAAUUGUAAAAAAUAUGUCUCGAUUUUGAGCCCUUAUACAAUCCAACCUGAUUGGGUAAGAAAGAAAUCCAAAAAAUCUUUCUUUGAAUGGUGUAUAUAUUAAAGAGUUUCUUUUAUUUGGUUGGACGUAUUCAUGAUUACAUCCAGACUUUGCAAUGUAAAAGAUUUGAGAGGAUAUUGCUUGGACACUUGGGUAAGAAAAAGAUAUAAGUUCAAUUUGGGAGGGUUGGACGUGUAGACUCCGGUGCAAUAAACAUUGAUGAUGAAAUUUUCAAAUGGACAGUGGCCAAGGGCCCUAAUAGUGAAUACAAUGAACUCUGUACGGUCAAAUUUCCUGUGGGCUUUUAAUUGCCUACUCGGAAUUUUCUUUUUGGUCAAACAAAAGAGAGCGUGUGGGGUAAGGAAGUGAUCAAAGAAAAGAAAAUAAAUUAAAAGCAAGGUUUUGCUUUUUUGGGUUUCCUUCCUCGAGAAGCCUAAUAGUGGAAUUCCAUUAGAAAUUGCGCCACCGCACGGAAAGUAAAAGAAAGAACAUACGGACAUUCUUGAAUUAGCUGUGCAAAGGGUUUUGCUUGCAUGCAAUUAAGUUUUUUAUUUAUAAAGUUAUUUGGAUUUGGUCUUAAUAUAAAUAUGGGAAACACUCGAGUGUGUUAACGACUGUAAUUCUAAUUUUCAAAUUAUAGUGAAUUGUUGGUUGUUAGCUCUGUUUGGGGAUAAAUGCCGAACACUCGGAUCAAAUUUGGUAAAUAUUUGGUAUCUUUGUCAUUCCCCAUUUAUUUCUUCAAUGUUCUUGUAUUGAUUUAAUUGGAAGAUCUUCUCAAUUUUCACGUUAAUUUUGCAACAUGUCUACUUUUGAAAUGCCUCUCGUCAGACAUGAUGACCAAAUAUGUUCCUUUGACGAAACUUAAGCUUUACUUGAGCACAGUUGUCAUUUAUAGAGAGUGAACGUCCAUCGAGGCGUUGGGAGAACUGAUAUGGAUGAUGAACAUUAUGACUUAGUUCUAAAUGUCAAGGCAAGGUAGAGAAUUUUUAAAAUAUGUCUCGAUUUUGAUCUGUCAUGCAAUCUAACCUGAUUGGGCAAGAAAGAAAUCCAAAAAAAUCUUUCUUUGGAUGGCGUAUAUAUUAGAGAGUUUCUUUUAUUUGAUUGGACAUAUCUACGAUUACAUCCAGACUUUGCAAUGUAAAAGAUUUGAGAGGAUAUUGCUUGGACGCUUGGGUAAGAAAAAGAUAUAAGUUUAAACGUGUAGACUCCGGCACAAUAAACAUUGACGGAGAAAUUUUUCUGUGGACAACCACCAAGGACCCAGUAGUUAAUACAAUGAACUUUCACGGUCAAAUUUCCUGUGGACUUUAGUUGCCUACUUGGAAUUUUCUUCUUGGUCAUACAAAAGAGAGCGAGUGGAGCUAGGAAGUAGUUAGAGAAAAGGAAAUAAAUUAAAAGCAAGGUUUUGCUAUUUUGGGUUUCCUUUCCUCGAGAAGCCUAAUAGUGGAAUUCCACUGGAAAUUGGGCCACCGCACAAACAGUAAAAGAAACAGCAUACGAACGUUCUCGAAUUAGCUGUGUGAAGGGUUUUGCUAUGGGCUUAAACACUUAGUGAUUUUCCCUAUGAGCUUUACAUGCAAUUAAGUUAUUUAUUUCUAAACAUAUUUGGAUUUGGUCUUAAUUUAGGUGUGGGAGACACUCGGGUGUAAGCGAUUGUAGUUCUGAUUCUCAAAUUAUAGUGAAUUAUCUGUUGCUAGCUCUUUAUAGAGAUAAAUACCGGUACUCGGAUGAAAUCUCAUAAAUAUUUGGUAUCUUUGAUAUUUCCCAUUUAUUUCUUCAAUGUUCUUGCGUUGAUCUAAUAGCAAGAUCUUCUUAAUUUUCGCUUUAAUUUUGCAACAUGUCUACUUUUGAAAUGCCUCUAGUCAAGAUCACUUUGUCCUUAAAGCUCCAAUGCGAAGUAGAUUAACAGAUAUUCCAUGUUUAGAGCCAUCCAAUUUCCAAACGUUUUCUAGUGCAGUUUUUUCGCUUGUACGUACGAACUCAUUGGGAGAAUCCACCGUCACCCUUACAAAGGAAGCAAUUUGAAUAAUGUUAAAUGGGCACUCAUUAAGUUAAACUAGCUGCUUUUUGUGAAUCUGAAAGGCAUCUGUUAUGAUUUUUCUCUAGUGUGAAAUGUGUAAAAGCUACAAGGUAGUAAUUUUCAAUAUCUUGAAAAUAUAAGCAUUCUAAGUUAGUCGUGCUGAACAAUAAGAAGAGAGCACUUUAAUUACCAUAUUUACAUCCCAUGUUAGUUUCCCAAGCAAGAAACCAGUUCAUUGUGAGUAAUCCUUUAACAUUUACUAAUUUUCAUGUUACCAUCAUUUAAUUGCAUUCUAACUGUUCAACAUGAUCAUGAUCUUGCGUUCUAGUCGGGAGCCAAGUAAUUCACAAGGCCUAUGCUUUUCAUUGGAUAAAGAUUGAAUUAGUCAUAUAAAUGAUAAUAGUGACUAGGCUAGACUAAACUUAACGUGUGGAAAAAAGUUAUGCCAAUAGAGACAUUCAGAAAAUUCCCCACUAAUGAAAUCCGGUCAUUGCAUAAGUUACAUUCCCCAUCCCACACGCUAAUUAACCUAGUCACCAAAAGGAGUUGACCUACAUUCAUCACUAAAGAUGACCAAGACUUUGAUAGGAGCUCACCUACAUUCACCACUGAAGAUGACCAAGACUUUGGCCAUGACCACAACUUCUACACUCAAGCACAAGCAUCGCUGAACUCCUAUAAGUUGCUCUAACUUGCAAAAAAGAAGUUAACUCAAGAGUGUGAUACAUAUAAAGUUUGGUCACUUGAAUCUGUAGUCAUGAAAAAGAAAGCAUUGUGGGGGCUUGUGGUGAUUUGGGGUAUCGCAUGUUUAUGUGGCUCUCGUGCGUGUCGGGAGCAAGAAAGGGUUGCACUCUUAGCGCUCAAUGCCACAUUGGACCUGACAUAUAGGGCGAACGCCAGGGGAUCAUAUUUUAACUGUUGCAGCUGGGAAGGUGUUGAGUGCAAUCCCACCACUGGGCGAGUCACUCAUCUAAUGCUCUCUGGUAUGAGAUAUUACCGUUUUGGCUUCAAAACUGGGUACCUAAAUGCUUCUUUACUUCUUCCCUUUGAAGAACUCAAGACCCUUGACUUGUCCGACAACUAUUUAGGAGGGUAGAUUGCACCAGAAGGUAUAAAUUCACCGUUCGUUCAUUUCCUAUAAAAGAAGAGAUACUCAUUAUCUAAUGAACUCAAAACUUAACCAUGUCUGGGUCCUUACUCACUUCCUGCAUUAGAGAUGAUUAUGUCCACGUCAUCAUUAAUCCACAAGUCUACAACAUAUUUCUCCUCGAAAUGGCAAUACCGGUUUAUGCAUGUACUCGAAUAGAUUUCCACGAAUUUUACUGCUUUUCAUUGUUUGUUUGCAAAACCAAACCUAUUACCUUCAAGGCUGAGCAAACUAGAGGAACUUGACUUGAGUUAUAACUCUCUGAAUAAUUCUAUUCUAUCCAUUCUUGGUACAAUUCCAUCUCUCCGGCGUCUGUUCCUUAGGGAAACCAAUUUGAGCAGGACUUUACAUGUGAAUGGUAAAUUUCUCCAGUUUAUUCUCUACUCACAAUUCAGAACGAAAUUGCCACCCUACAACAUAUUUCCCCUUGAAAUGGCAAUACCUGUUUACGCGCGUACUUGAAUAGAUUUCUGUGGAUUUUUAUGCUUUUCGUUGUUUGUUUGCAGAACCAAACCUGCUAUCUUCAAGGCUGAGCAAACUAGAGGUACUUGAUUUGAGUAGUAACUCUCUAGAAAAUUCUAUUCUAUCCAUCUCGGUAUAAUUCCAUCUCUCCGACGUCUGUUCCUUAGUGGCAGCAAUUUGAGAAGGACUUUACACGUGAAUGGUAAAUUUCUUCGGCUUGUUCUCUGCUCAUAAUUCAGUACGAAAUCACCAUCCUUGACUUGAGUUAACACAAUUUGUGGACAAAUUAGGUGGUUUCCGUAAUUUGAUGGAGCUAGACAUAAGUGAUAAUGCUAUCGAUGCAGUGUCUACUAUUGAAGGUACCAUUUCAAUUUGCAUGAAAGAGCCUCGUUUUGUUCAUAUAUUAAACUAACUAGCCUAUGAGUUGUGCGAACUCUUUAAUACCUUUACAUGGGCUUCACAUAAUGAAUGUAGAAGUCAUAAAUUGCAACCCCCUUCUCUUUUCCAUAUAGAAAUGUUGCUCAUUCAAAAAGAUUCCUAUCCUAAGGCAUCCGCGUGGGUGCUUUCAUUAUUUACUUUGGAUGAUUCUAUUCUACCCAUUCAUGGUAUAAUUUCGACUCUCAGGUGUCUAUCCUCCAAACAACAUUUGAAUGGGACUUUACAUGUGAAUGAUAGUUUCUCCAGCUUAUUCUCUAUUCAUAAUUUUGUACAAAAUCACUGUCCUUGACUUGAGUUAGCAAUAUUUGUGGACAAAUUAGGUGAUCUUAGUAAUUUAAAGGAGCUGGACAUAAGUUAUAAUGCAGUCAAUGCAGUGGCUAUUGUUGAAGGUAUUGUUUCAGUUUUCAUGCAUAAUCCUCGUUUUUAUUCAUAAAUGAAAUUGACUAGAUUGCGAUUCAUGCAUGCUCUUUCAUAUCUUUACAUGUGCUUCAUAUUAAGAAUAUAGAAGUCAUAUAUUGCAAUCCCCUUCUCUUUUUGUAUGCAAAUGUUGUUGAUUGAAAAGAUAUCUAACCCAAGGCAUCAGCGUGGGUGCUUUCACAACUUAACUACCAAGCAAGUUAAUUACUUAGAAUUUUACUGCUAGGCAUCAAAAACUUGAGCCACUUAGAGAACCUCCACCUAGAUGGUGUCCACUUGAAGCAUGUGGGGAACGUCGUGCGAGCACUAGGGGCACUGCCAUCUCUAAAGAUCCUUUCUCUAUAGGAAAAUACAGUAGAAGGAAAACUUACUACUCAAGGUUAGGCAAACUCAUGAGUGAAUGUAUAUUCACAAUAACGCUCCAUUCAUUUCACGAAAAACAACUUUUAAGAAAAUGCUUUUCAGAUUUUCGAGCAUUGGAGUCAUGGAAAAUAUGUAAGUAAAGGAAAAUGUUUUCCUUUAAUGGAAAAAGCAUUUUCAAAAGUCGGGAUAAUGAGAAAAUCAUUUUCCAUUUUCUUUCUUUCAUCUAGACAUGUUUUCCUCCGUGCACUCUUUUUAGUUAUUUUAUUGUUUUUCUAUUUUCUUUUUUUUUAAAUCGAAUUUCUAAUUUUCAUUUUCUUUCUUUCUAUCUUUCUUUUUUCAUUCUUCCUCAAUUGAUUGUUUACUACGACAACGGCCGGCAACCAACCAUUGGCGAGGAACAAGCUUGCCGAAGGCCAAGGCCUCACUGAUUUGACGAGCUUCAAGCUCAUCGGCCUUGAGCAAUCUUGACCUCACUUGUGACCGGUGAUCGGACGAACAAGAAGAGGAAAAAAAGAAAAAGAAAAAAUAUUAAAAAAUCUAUUUUAAAAAAAAUAAAAAUAAAAUAUCGUUGAAAGGAGUGCACGGAUGAAAAUCAAAUUAGAUUUUUCAUACUAAAUGGUGGAAUAUAUUUUCUAGUUCAUUUUCAGGUUUUAGCCAAACACUAGAAAAUAUUAUCAUUUUCCUAGACAUGACUUCUCGAAUAACAUUUUCCAGAAAAGUCAUAUUUUCUGCGAAACGAAUGGAGCCUACUUUUUUUUUUAAUUUUUAUUAAAGAAGUUCCAUUCACUCAUGAUAUCUCUAUACCAUUUCUUGAUUAUGCUUGCGUAAGGAAAUUUGAUGUUCAGUAAUCUUUUGAUUUUUGGGAAGAUUUCCAUAACUUCAAUAAGUUGGAACAACUCAUCUUGGAUGGUUCUUCGUUGAACACAAGCAUAGGAAUCCUUUCCGGCCUUGGUUCAUUGACAUCUCUUAGAUUGUUGUCCUCAUACAACACCGGUCUAAGUGGCAAUCUAUCAUACCAUAGUAAGUUCUAAUCUCUCAAUGUAAAAGCUAGACAUGAAAUGGAUCCUUGAUGUACUUGAAUGUCCUCUUUGCAUGUACCAAUAUAUCUCAUUGGAGGAGAAUUGACUUGUGAUAUCAAUAACAGGCUUGUGUAACCUGGUAAAACUAGAAGAGUUGGAUCUUCGCUUUAACGGAAUUACUGGCAGGCUUCCUACAUGUUGGCAAAACAUAUCCUCUAUUUGGAUUAUGGAUCUUGAAGACAAUGAAGUUACAGAUAGUGUCGUGUCAUCUCCCCUCACUAGUCUUACAUCUCUCGAAUUUCUUUCCAUUUCGAGUAACCAUUUUGAUAUCCCCUCAUCACUCAGCCCACUUGCAAACCAUUCAAGACUUAAGGUGCUAUUUCUUGAUGACACCAAACUAACAAUUGAUACCAAAGUUGCAUCUUUGAUCCCAAGGCUCCAGUUGAAGGUUUUAAGCAUGUCAAAUAGUCCAUCAAGAGGAUUCAAAUUGACUUCAUUGGGCUUUCUCAAUCAUCAAUAUGACCUGAGAAUUCUCGAUCUAUCCUCAAAUGACAUUCUGGGUCCCAUUCCAGCUUGGUUGUUGGAAAACAACACCAAGCUAGAAAAGCUUUUUAUGGCAAAUAACUUAUUUACCACACUUGAGGUUCCAUCAAUCACUUCUUUUAAUCUUUCGAGCAUGGCCAUAUCCAACAACAGCAUGAGAGGAGAGCUCACUACCGAAUUUUGGGUAAAUGUCCCAAAUCUAUUGAGCCUUAAUCUAUCAGCCAACAAAUUGGAAGGGAAUAUUCCAUCUGAACUAGGUAGUAUAAAAUCCCUAUAUAUCUUAGACCUGUCCAGCAACAAUUUCUCAGGGGGGCUACCUAUCCAGUUACUAGAUAGUAAAUUGCAUCACCUCAAUGUAGCAUAUAACAAAUUGCAAGGAGAAAUUGUACUUUCCGACCACACCAUGAACCCAGGGUUGCUAUUUUUGCGGUUAGACCACAACUUGUUCACUGGAAGUCUCUCUUUUCUUUCAUCACUCGUAGGUUUAUGUGCAUUGGAUGUUAGCAACAACAUUUUCACGGGCAAGCUUCCUAGAUUGAUUGCAAACAUGUCAUCGCUUGUGGUCCUUGACUUGACCAAAAAUAAGUUGGAUGGCCUCAUCCCUCAAGAACUCUACAAUCUUGAUGAGCUUGAGUAUUUGGAUUUGUCUAACAACAAUUUCUCUGGUUCAUUACCAUCAUUUUUUAUCUCACAAAGGGUGCGUCAUAUCCAUCUGAAUGGGAACAAAUUGAAUGGUAUACUCGUGCAUGCGCUCUCUAAUAGCUCCUUUUUGGUGACCUUGGAUAUGAGCGAAAAUGAGUUCUCCGGAAGCAUACCCUAUUGGCUAGGUAACUUCUCUCAAUUGAGCAUUCUUUCACUGAAAGGUAAUAGCUUCUAUGGAACAUUUCCCGAGCAAUUGUGUAGAUUGAAAAGCUUAAGUAUGAUCGAUCUUUUUGGAAAUAAUCUAUUUGGUCCAUUACCUACUUGCUUGGGACCCAUGAAUUUAUCCGAAGAUUACACCGGUAAGGUAACUUCAGCAUCAUACAUUGAAGGUUUUCUUAUAGGAUGGCCACCUUGGUAUUAUGUGAGGACAAUUAAACGCGAUAUUGACUUUAAAUUUUUUAUUAUGAAGAAAUGGGAGAAAAAUUGCAAGUUCCAUAUAUUGUUGGGUUCACAACGAAAGGAAGGUUUGAUUCUUAUAAAGGCUACACACUUCUUAAAAUGGUGGGAUUAGAUUUUUCUUGCAGCCAAUUCAGCGGUGAGAUCCCCCCAAAGAUAGCAAUCUUACAAGAAAUGCUUGUGCUAAACCUGUCACAUAACAAGCUUAUAGGACGUAUACCAAUGUCAUUGUCAAGCCUCACGAAGAUAGAGAGCAUUGACCUUUCCUACAACAACUUGAUUGGUUCUAUCCCUG
RNAcentral lists this long non-coding RNA (41139 nucleotides) under Eucalyptus grandis. Its description in RNAcentral is "long non-coding RNA (EGRA_LNC003391)". Lineage: Eukaryota; Viridiplantae; Streptophyta; Magnoliopsida; Myrtales; Myrtaceae. The record is from RNAcentral.